RNAcentral lists this long non-coding RNA (3599 nucleotides) under Oryza sativa (Asian cultivated rice). Its description in RNAcentral is "long non-coding RNA (OSAT_LNC001606)". The record is from RNAcentral. Lineage: Eukaryota; Viridiplantae; Streptophyta; Magnoliopsida; Poales; Poaceae.
UUGUCUUGGCGUAUGUUGCCUUGUAUGUUGAUCUUGUGUAUUGAUCUAUUGUUCCAUGUCCCCUCUCCUCCUAGGGGGUCUUGUAUUUAUACCCAUAUGUGUCCUCUUGUCCAAGUAGAACUAGGGAAACCAAUAUGGAUACAAUCCGAGUAGUCCUUGUCGUUUCCAUGUAGAACUCUGGUUGUCUUUCCUUAUCCGGAACUCCUCCUAUAUCCGCAGGUUGUUUCCGUAUAGGACAUGGUAUGUGGUGGGUCCUGCUGAGAUUUAGUCAACUACUAUUAGGUAUGUGGUAUCCAUAACCCUGACAGUAGCCCCCGACUUCGAUGCAAAUGAACGAAUUCAUAUUCUCAACCGCGCGCAGACCUUGGAGUAAUUGUUAUCGAGCUCAUGUGACCGUUCUCGAUGAGUUCAGAGAUAACGUUAGACUUCCCUUAUCAGCCUCGUGCGGGCACCUAGAGGGUUUGUCUGAGUCAAUCUCCGACAUCAACCAAGAAAGUACAGAGCAUACGACUAAUUCUCCCGUCUUGCUGUAAUCGAGAAUUUGGAUUGAAGUCAAGAAAUUUUAUCUCGGCGGGUACACCAUUUAUUCAUUCUGUAUUCCUUGUCGAGAUCCACCAACCGUUCUCGAGUGAUCGAGAAGGCGCAGAGCCUGCGACGAAGCCUUGUCAACAUUUGUCGUACUCGCUUUAGUUGAUCUUGGUGUAGAACCAUAGAGACAUGGAGUCUUCGUCAAUGUCGAAUAGAAUUUUCCUGAAAUCAAUACUCAGAAAAGAAUAUUAGAUAGAAAUAGCCCCCGAGCGAACGCUCAAAGGGUGACAUGUUAUAAUAUGUAUAGAAAACUGAAAAUGAAUUAAAUUUACAGACCAAUGUUUUGUAUAUGAGCGUCUUCUCUCUUACCGACUUCGAUCAGUCAGUUUGUUGAGUCAUACACACUCUCCCUAGCCCCCAGCCUUAUCGUCGAAGAAACGUUCUCGGAAGAUAAAGCUCUUAGACCCUUGACCUGCCUCGGUUGAACAAGCACUGAUUCUAGCCCCCAGCCAUGAAGUUGGAAAACCCAAUUUCCGAUUACAUGGCUUGGUUAAUACGCACAGUGAGAACUCUUACACGACCAGAUCUUACAUGGUCUUUUGUCUCUUUAGGAUCCGACAAGGCCUUAUCGGCUCUAGGCGUCCCCAGCCGAAGUUCCUUUAGGUUCCUUGGAGGCCUUGUCAAGAUGGCGUAAAGAGAUAUUAGGAUAGGUUUCAACGCUGGGUGUCAUCGUGGUAAGGGAUCUCUGGGUAAAACACUUGGCGAUAUUGUGUACCUGAUAUCAACUUUGUUGAAAUAAAGGUAAUGGGAGAAUCGCUACACCUCUGGUCGAGGACCAGGUAGUAGUCGUAACUCGACCACUUGAAGUAGAUAUAGUGGGAGAAUCGUUACACCGCUGGUCGAGGACCAGAUAGUAAUCGUAACUUGACCACUUCAAGUGGAAAUAGUGGGAGAAUCGCUACACCGCUGGUCGAGGACCAGGUAGUAGUCGUAACUCGACCACUAGAAGUGAGGCGAGAGAGAUCACUACGUCCUACUGGUUUGAGAACCAGGAGUAGGAAUCUCUCAAUCACCUAUAGGGGCGCUAAAGUUGGUUUGUUACAUGUGCAUCUCAUGUGGCCAGCAUGACUCACAUACCCAACUUAUAGUAUAUCCGGAUGUCCGCUCGCAAUUAUGUCGGGUGAUCAAGCCGACAACAUUCACGAGAAUUUGUCCGCUAACAACCUUUUCUCGAAUAGCCCAGCCAUGGUUGGCGCUAUGAGAUAGGUCGUCGGUCUUCGUUGGUAGGUUGGGCGCGACGACUUCGCAUUUGUCGAGAACAUUCUCGAUAAUGGGGUGCACUUGACCACAACCCACUCGAGUGCUCAAUUGUUCCUGAAAAAUAUUUCCUAGAAGGCAAGACAUAUAGCAGAAAAUAUCGAGUAUGUACUCAAAAAACUGCAUGGAUCUUCUAGUAUUAUCAGGAUAUAACGAGCAGAUGUAAAUAUCAGGCAUUAUGUAAACCGUAAACAAGCAUGAUUUAUACAUAAGGAAAUAGAGCGAGCCCCCAACGUUAAACCGUAGUCGAUUUAACAUCGGGGACACUUGCACAAUAGAUAUUGUAUAAAAGACAUGCUCUAGGUAAACAUAAUAAAUUUUAGAUCUGACAAUGUUGUAUGAUCUAAAAAUAGACACGACAAAUUGUAUAUAAAAUAUUGAGUACCUUUGUAGAUACAUGCCGGAUGUAUCUACGAAAUUAGUAGAUUAAUUUAAAAAAUCAAUCUACUAAAUACCUUGAUUUGCAUGCCCGACAUACUGUCAAUAGAAGAUAUAUGUAUGCAUGCAAUAGACCUGGACGUCAAUAUCUUGUUGUCUUGGAAGAGCAAUGCCACCUGUCGCAUGCAUACAUGUGUCUAGGCAUGUGUAUGUGACAUGGUUAGGCAAGCACGCUUGGUUGACCAAUUCCGGCUAGCACACGGCAAGUUGGCGACGCAGCGGCGCCUGUUCUCGGAGAAUUUCAUGUGGCAUGCAUCGAGGUAUAUUGGUUGGUGGGAAUCGGCGUCGUGUCCGGCCUGUGCGCAGCCAGCCAAUACCUCACACCAAUUGAUGUCGUGCACAAGGAGGAAUUGAUAUUGGAUCGGUUUCGGAAGCUGCCGAUACUGAAGAUUCUCCACGGCGGCGAUGACUUGAUGAAGCUUGGUCGAUCUCGCCGGAUCAAAUAUUUGACGAUGAUGGUUCCGAUCUUGUUGGACGACAUACUCCGGUCGGGUUAGAUCUCCCCAUAACCGAAGUUAUCGAGUAGCUUGUUGUUGGAGAAUCCAUCUCUUAAACCCAUCUCGUCGAAAUCCUGAAGCACCAAAGUCCCCUACCUGGCGCGCCACUGCCAACGUUUGAUGUCACGAUUCCGGUAUUUGCAUAGUAUGGGGAUCGUUGGUACUAGGAUAUACGCGAGACUGAGGUAAAAGAGACGGAGACAGGGAUUUUUAUACAGGUCCGGGCCCCUGAAUUGUCAGGUAAUAACCCUACAUCCUGUUGGCCGAAGCCGGUAUUGCUCUUAUUCACCAUAAACACACCAGUAUAAUAUUUGGGGUAGCCUAUCUAACUGUUGUCGACAUGGCGGUCUGAAGGUCUGAUUCAAAGUCGACAACAAGGUAGUCUUCCUCCUCGAGUUCGUGCCCGGCGAGAUCAAAGAUAGCGCUUUCGUCUCUCCUGACAAUAUCCGGAGACACCAUAGGGGACUAGCCGUGCUUAUCCCUGAAGUCGAUAUCCGGCGUUUUGUCUUGGCGUAUGUUGGCUUGUAUGUUGAUCUUGUGUAUUAAUCUAUUGUUCCAUGUCCCCUCUCCUCCUAGGGGGUCUUGUAUUUAUACCCAUAGGUGUCCCCUUGUCCAAGUAAAACUAGGGAAACCAAUAUGGAUACAAUCCGAGUAGUCCUUGUCGUUUCCAUGUAAAACUCUGGUUGUCUUUUCUUAUCCGGAACUCCUCCUAUAUUCACAGGUUGUUUCCGUAUAGGACAUGGUAUGUGGUGGAUCCUGCCGAGAUUUAGUCAACUACUAUUAGGUAUGUGGUAUCCAUAACCCUGACACCGAUAAAAC